RNAcentral lists this transfer RNA (77 nucleotides) under Pseudomonadales bacterium. RNAcentral's name for it is "tRNA-Arg". It matches the Rfam family "tRNA". Rfam says of the family: Transfer RNA (tRNA) molecules are approximately 80 nucleotides in length. Their secondary structure includes four short double-helical elements and three loops (D, anti-codon, and T loops). RNAcentral also lists the same sequence under 1 other name. The record is from RNAcentral. Lineage: Bacteria; Pseudomonadati; Pseudomonadota; Gammaproteobacteria; Pseudomonadales.
GCACCCGUAGCUCAGUUGGAUAGAGUACCUGGCUACGAACUAGGGGGUCGGGAGUUCGAAUCUCUCCGGGUGCGCCA